GAAACUGCUUUGUUGAGAUAUAAUUGUAUAUUCCACAUUUUGCUUAAUGAUGAAUACGUGGGUUGCAUCCACAUUUCAGCUGUUGUGAAUAGUGCGGCUAUGAACAUGGCUGUAGAAACAUCUCUUCAAGGCCCUGUUUCCAUUUCUUUGGGUAUAUACUCAGAAGUGGAAUUACUGGAUUAUAUGCAUAGAGUAUAUGAGGACUCUCAUGUUUCAAAGGCUAAAUGGUCUGAGCUUUAACUCAGUGCCUCAUCUUCAUUUUACCUCAAGACUAAUGAAAGACAGUGAAAAAGAGAAUGACAGAAAAUUCCCUCAUAAUUUCUGGCUUCGACUUUCAACUUACAGGACUGAAAAUUACUGGCAAUCUUUGCUAAACUCAAAAGGUAUGUAAUCAACCUUUGAUUACUUAACAAUAGAGGGUGCCAAGAAACUAUAUAUCUCUGUGCAUAGUUAUUAUGAAUCUGAUCCCUUAUCAGAAGGCUCGUUGAGUCAGACAUCUGUUUUCUUUCGUAUUUAGUCAUUCCAUGCAUGUGGACAGUGGCAUUGAUAUGAGAAAUAAACUACCUAAUUGACAUUUUUGUUUGGUUUUGUUUUCACUGGAAAUUUCAGAGAGGAAAUUUUUAGGUAAACCAUUUGUAAAUUUUGGGGUAAAGUUGUU
RNAcentral lists this long non-coding RNA (658 nucleotides) under Homo sapiens (human). RNAcentral describes it as "HSALNT0161429". The record is from RNAcentral. Lineage: Eukaryota; Metazoa; Chordata; Mammalia; Primates; Hominidae.